AAAAGUCCUUGAAGACUGCCUUUCAGGUUUACUUAGAAACCCAGAGCAUUUUAACCCUCAGUAGUGAGCACACAGAGAUAUUCCUUCAGCAUACCAUACUGCCAUAGAGUGAUGGAGGAAUGACACCAGUAAUUUGAGACCUCUUCAGUGGCUCUGUGAUACAAAGUUAAAACCAGUGUUUAUUAUAUCCCUCUAUAUGGCCAUGUGUACUCAUCGUUCACCUUCCACUUACAUGUAAAAACAUAUGGUAAGUGAUUUUCUGAUUUUGAGUUAUUUUACUAAAGAUAAUUGUUUUUAGCUCUGUGGAUGUGAUUGCAAAAACUGUAACAUUAUUGUAAAUAUUUAUGGUUAUGCAGUAUUAAAUCAUGUAUAGACACCACAUUUUCAUAUUUUCAAUUCAAUCAUACUUUGAUGGAAACUUGGGUUAAUUCCAUGA
RNAcentral lists this long non-coding RNA (436 nucleotides) under Homo sapiens (human). RNAcentral's name for it is "HSALNT0409548". The record is from RNAcentral. Lineage: Eukaryota; Metazoa; Chordata; Mammalia; Primates; Hominidae.